UAAACCGCGGCGCUCAACAUGGCGGCGCCCGCGUGACCGCUCGACCGGGUGUUCUCUCGUGCGGACCAGGACAGGUCGUUUUCGUGUAGCGUCACGCUGCCUUCGAUAUCUAGAGAUGCAUUUAACCCCUGGGAGCCUUUUAGCGCGAGCCGGGAGUUGGCCGUGGCCUGCGAACCCGCUGACCUCUAAUGACCCUCAUCUGCCGUGCUCCGGAAGCGCUUCCGCCUCUCUGAAACAGAAGCUGGGUCGGUGUUGGCAGAGUGGCGGGCACUGAUGGAUUCAGAAAGCCGGCGAACACAUCCGCUCUGCGCAGCCGGGAUGGACAGCCCGGCCCGGGCACCCUUCACCUCAGGGGAACCGCUUCCUGCCACACCUGCUGGCCAGGUGUGACCCCACCAAGUUAAUUUCAUCUUGAACUGCUGUGUGUAGCCACUUAGCGUCUAAUUACUGAGCGUCUGCCGUGUGGGAAGUUGGUGCUUGCACAGGGCGGACAGCUGACGGGAGUUCACCUUUAUCUUCAAGGACGCAGGGCCAGGGGCCGGCAGCCUCUCUUGCGUCCUUGGAGCGGCCGAUCUUGUGCUGCUGCACAGCCAGGCCUGGGUGCCCAGCGGGUACCACACUGAGCUAGACGGCAGGAGACCCUGGGCUCUGGGAGGCUCUGUCACCGUGCCCAGCACGUAAACAAAGCGCUCCAGACCCUCUCAGGAGACCGCAUCCCGUGCGGCAGAUGCCCCCCAUCCUCACGCUGGCUCUCCACACCGCAGCUGCUCUCAGACACUGUCAGAAACUAUUAAGCGGAAAACCCCAAAAGGAAAUGCGUGGUGAGUUCCAAGUUGCUUCUCGUGCAGCGUCUCGUGCCCCUGCUCAGCAGGGGACUGGGCCCUCGGUCCAGGGUGUCCGCUCGGGGUCCCCUCCCUUCCCUUGAGCUGCCUGGUUGCCCUCUGGGGUCUCAAUUCCGCUGCUGCUGUGCCGUGGCCGAGUUUGUCCUCAGCUCACAGCUCUUCCGCUUGGUAAGGGCCCCAGAGCAGAAGAGUAGCCAUGCCAAGGAGGCACUGGGGGGAGGGUAGCCCGGGGAGCGGCCGGUUCGCCCCGACUGUGUGGCCGUGUGCAGGACACAGAGGAAGAGCGGUGCUGUACCCCGGGUCCAGUCCUGUCUGUGGCCUCAAGUAUCCACCGAGGUCCUUGGGACACGCCACUGUGGAAAAGGGGGCUCCUGUGCUUCCGUCAGGGGUCAGGGAGGCAGAAUUCCUGGGGCCAGUCUGCCCUUCCCGUCUGCUUUCCUCCCGGUGUUGCUCCAUUUUUACGUCUGCAGACGCGUCAGUGCCUCUGUCAGGCGUGGGGUCGUCGCCUCUGUGCCCGCCCUCCUGGCUUCUGCUUGCUGACCCUUGGCCCCCGUCAUCGCCUCUUAAAAUCGGGCGCGCUGAUGCCAACGCAGCGUCCAGACGGUCAGUUGCUGCUUUCAUUCGGGGGCACGCUCCUGGCUCCUGGCGCGCACAGCCUGGGCGUGCGCAGUCUCUGUGCCUGGGGGAGGUAGGGUCCAGCAUCGGCCCCGGGGGUUCUGAGAAAGGGACUUCGCCACAGGGUAGGGGUGGGAUUCCCCCUCUGGAGCCACAGGGAGAGAGGCCGAAGCCCUUCCCACACGUCACCGUUUCCGAGGACGGAGGGUCACGUGGCGGAAGGAAGCAGGCUUCACGCUGCAGGGCUGAGGGAAUUGGAGCGGAGAGGGCCCAGGCGAGGAGCAGGCUUGGGCUUGUGAACCUGUGAGCACACCCGCCAUACCUGGAUCUGAAGAGCGGACGGGCAAAGGCCACCCCCGCCCUUGUGUGGUAUUGAAAUCUCCUCCUCCUUUAUCCAAACAAAUUGAAAUCAACAUACCUAGCGACGCAUGCAUUUCAGUAUCUAUAGGGCCACAAUUCUCUGUGGCUCAGUCGUGGGAGCAGCCUGGAUGUCCAUCAGCAGACGGUGGGUAGGGAAGAGGUGGGCCGUAUGCACGGGGAGCUUCACUCAGCCAUAAGGAAGAGUGACCUGAUGACGUUCGCUGUACGUGGGGACCUGGAUGGCGUCGUGCUAAGUGGAAGCAACCCGGCUCCGAAAGUCAAGUCUUCUGUUCUCUCUCUCAUGCAGAAGCUCAGGAGAAAAAGGGAGUCAAAGAUAAGAGGUUCUCAUGGAAGUAGAUGAGGGGUCAGGGAAGUGGAGGCCGAGGAUGAGCGGAGAGAGGAGAGGCAGGAAAGGGGAAGAACUGGGGAGCAGACGGACACAGAGGUGCCAGGCGCCCGAGCGAGCGCGUCCUGAGGAACCCCCCCACGUAGCUCAUAAUAUACCAGUGAAGAGUCCAUCCGGAAGGUUCUCUGAUCUGCAGAUGCUAAUUCACAAUAAGGGGGCCUAGGGAGGAAUA
Molecule: long non-coding RNA, 2395 nt
Organism: Sciurus carolinensis (gray squirrel)
Lineage: Eukaryota; Metazoa; Chordata; Mammalia; Rodentia; Sciuridae
Exons: 3
Source: RefSeq, a predicted model, not a curated record